RNAcentral lists this ribosomal RNA (455 nucleotides) under uncultured bacterium. RNAcentral's name for it is "bacterial SSU rRNA". It matches the Rfam family "Bacterial small subunit ribosomal RNA", at positions 340 to 786 of the family's 1533-position model. The record is from RNAcentral.
UACGGAAGGCAGCAGUAGGGAAUCUUCCGCAAUGGACGAAAGUCUGACGGAGCAACGCCGCGUGAACGAUGAAGGCUUUCGGGUCGUAAAGUUCUGUUGUUAGGGAAGAACAAGUACCAGAGUAACUGCUGGUACCUUGACGGUACCUAACCAGAAAGCCACGGCUAACUACGUGCCAGCAGCCGCGGUAAUACGUAGGUGGCAAGCGUUGUCCGGAAUUAUUGGGCGUAAAGCGCGCGCAGGUGGUCCUUUAAGUCUGAUGUGAAAGCCCACGGCUCAACCGUGGAGGGUCAUUGGAAACUGGGGGACUUGAGUGCAGAAGAGGAAAGUGGAAUUCCACGUGUAGCGGUGAAAUGCGUAGAGAUGUGGAGGAACACCAGUGGCGAAGGCGACUUUUCUGGUCUGUAACCGCACUGAGGCGCGAAAGCGUGGGGAGCGAACAGGGAUUAGAUACC